UACGUAGGGUGCGAGCGUUGUCCGGAAUUAUUGGGCGUAAAGAGCUUGUAGGCGGUUUGUCGCGUCUGCCGUGAAAAUCCGGGGCUCAACCCCGGACUUGCGGUGGGUACGGGCAGACUAGAGUGCGGUAGGGGAGACUGGAAUUCCUGGUGUAGCGGUGAAAUGCGCAGAUAUCAGGAGGAACACCGAUGGCGAAGGCAGGUCUCUGGGCCACUACUGACGCUGAGAAGCGAAAGCGUGGGGAGCGAACAGG
Molecule: ribosomal RNA, 253 nt
Filed under: uncultured bacterium
Lineage: Bacteria
Description: partial 16S ribosomal RNA
Rfam family: Bacterial small subunit ribosomal RNA
Source: RNAcentral